CCGCGGGAUUAGAGUUUGAUCCUGGCUCAGGACGAACGCUGGCGGCGCGCUUAACACAUGCAAGUCGAGCGAGAACUAGUCCUUCGGGACUAGGGACAGCGGCGAACGGGUGAGUAACACGUGAGUAAUCCACCCUCGGUACCGGAAUAGCCCGGGGAAACUCGGAUUAAUGCCGGAUGGCCCAUUUGCUCUUCGGAGCUGAAUGGAAAAGAUAGCUUCGGCCUUCGACCGGGGACGAGCUCGCGGCGGAUUAGCUUGUUGGCGGGGUAACGGCCCACCAAGGCGACGAUCCGUAGCUGGUCUGAGAGGACGAUCAGCCACACUGGGACUGAGACACGGCCCAGACUCCUACGGGAGGCAGCAGUGGGGAAUCUUGCGCAAUGGGCGAAAGCCUGACGCAGCGACGCCGCGUGAGGGAAGAAGGCCUUCGGGUUGUAAACCUCUUUCAGGAGGGACGAAGCCACUCGGGUUAAUAGCCCAGAGGGUGACGGUACCUCCAGAAGAAGCCCCGGCUAACUACGUGCCAGCAGCCGCGGUAAUACGUAGGGGGCAAGCGUUGUCCGGAUUUAUUGGGCGUAAAGAGCGUGUAGGCGGCUUCACAAGUCCGCUGUGAAAACUCGAGGCUCAACCUCGAGCUGUCGGUGGAAACUGUGUGGCUAGAGUCCGGAAGAGGAGAGUGGAAUUCCCGGUGUAGCGGUGAAAUGCGCAGAUAUCGGGAAGAACACCCGUGGCGAAGGCGGCUCUCUGGGACGGUACUGACGCUGAGACGCGAAAGCGUGGGGAGCGAACAGGAUUAGAUACCCUGGUAGUCCACGCCGUAAACGAUGGGUGCUAG
RNAcentral lists this ribosomal RNA (835 nucleotides) under uncultured Actinomycetes bacterium. RNAcentral's name for it is "bacterial SSU rRNA". It matches the Rfam family "Bacterial small subunit ribosomal RNA", at positions 1 to 819 of the family's 1533-position model. The record is from RNAcentral. Lineage: Bacteria; Bacillati; Actinomycetota; Actinomycetes.